This 77-nucleotide transfer RNA is filed under the name Bacteroidota bacterium. Its description in RNAcentral is "Bacteroidetes bacterium (marine metagenome) tRNA-Phe". It matches the Rfam family "tRNA". From Rfam's summary of the family: Transfer RNA (tRNA) molecules are approximately 80 nucleotides in length. Their secondary structure includes four short double-helical elements and three loops (D, anti-codon, and T loops). The record is from RNAcentral. Lineage: Bacteria; Pseudomonadati; Bacteroidota.
GCUGGGAUAGCUCAGUUUGGUAGAGCAGUGGCCUGAAGAGCUUCGUGCCGGUGGUUCAAAUCCAUCUCCCAGCACCA